UGGGAACCUUCCCUAUGGUUCGGGAUAGCACAGGGAAACUUGGGGUAAUACCGGAUAAGCCCUUCGGGGGAAAGAUUUAUCGCCAUUGGAUGGGCCCGCGUCGGAUUAGCUAGUUGGUGAGGUAACGGCUCACCAAGGCAACGAUCCGUGGCUGGUCUGAGAGGAUGAUCAGCCACACUGGGACUGAGACACGGCCCAGACUCCUACGGGAGGCAG
This 216-nucleotide ribosomal RNA is filed under the name uncultured bacterium. RNAcentral describes it as "partial 16S ribosomal RNA". It matches the Rfam family "Bacterial small subunit ribosomal RNA", at positions 118 to 351 of the family's 1533-position model. The record is from RNAcentral.